AACAACUUUCAGCAACGGAUGUCUAGGUUCCCACAACGAUGAAGAACGCAGCGAAAUGUGAUACGUAGUGCGAAUUGCAAAACCUUGUGAAUCAUCGAAAUUUUGAACGCAUAUUGCGCUUCCAGGAUCUUCCUAGGAGCAUGCAUACCUGAGUG
Molecule: ribosomal RNA, 155 nt
Filed under: Gomphoneis okunoi
Lineage: Eukaryota; Bacillariophyta; Bacillariophyceae; Cymbellales; Gomphonemataceae
Description: 5.8S ribosomal RNA
Rfam family: 5.8S ribosomal RNA
About the family: 5.8S ribosomal RNA (5.8S rRNA) is a component of the large subunit of the eukaryotic ribosome. It is transcribed by RNA polymerase I as part of the 45S precursor that also contains 18S and 28S rRNA.
Source: RNAcentral